GCGAUACCGCGAAUGGCUCAAUAUAUCAGUUUUGGUUCCUUAGAUCUUACUCAGUUAAUUGGAUAACUGUGGCAAUUCUAGAGCUAAUACAUGCAAUCAGAGCUCUGACCAGAAAUGGAAAGAGUGCUUUUAUUAGAUCAAAACCAAUCGACGGAGGCUCCGGCCGAUGUCGUUUCUUUUGAUGAAUCUGGAUAACUUUUGCCGAUCGCAUGGUCUCGCACCGGCGACGCAUCUUUCAAAUGUCUGCCUUAUCAACUUUCGAUGGUAGUUUCUGCGACUACCAUGGUUGUAACGGGUAACGGGGAAUCAGGGUUCGAUUCCGGAGAGGGAGCCUGAGAAACGGCUACCACAUCCAAGGAAGGCAGCAGGCGCGCAAAUUACCCACUCCCGGCACGGGGAGGUAGUGACGAAAAAUAACGAUACGGGACUCAAUAGAGGCCUCGUAAUCGGAAUGAGUACACUUUAAAUAUUUUAACGAGGAACAAUUGGAGGGCAAGUCUGGUGCCAGCAGCCGCGGUAAUUCCAGCUCCAAUAGCGUAUACUAAAAUUGUUGCGGUUAAAAAGCUCGUAGUUGCAUUUGUGCGCCGCGCUGUCGGUGCACCGCUUCCGCGGUGUCUGACUGGUUUGCGGGGCAUAUCGCGGUGAG
This 646-nucleotide ribosomal RNA is filed under the name Acanthopteroctetes unifascia. Its description in RNAcentral is "SSU rRNA". It matches the Rfam family "Eukaryotic small subunit ribosomal RNA", at positions 81 to 708 of the family's 1831-position model. Lineage: Eukaryota; Metazoa; Arthropoda; Insecta; Lepidoptera; Acanthopteroctetidae. The record is from RNAcentral.